AUUGAACGCUGGCGGAAUGCUUUACACAUGCAAGUCGAACGGUAGAGGGGGCAACCCCUUGAGAGUGGCGAACGGGUGAGUAAUAUAUCGGAACGUGCCCAGUCGUGGGGGAUAACGUAGUGAAAAUUACGCUAAUACCGCAUACGAUCUAAGGAUGAAAGCGGGGGAUCGCAAGACCUCGCGCGAUUGGAGCGGCCGAUAUCAGAUUAGGUAGUUGGUAGGGUAAAGGCCUACCAAGCCAACGAUCUGUAGCUGGUCUGAGAGGACGACCAGCCACACUGGAACUGAGACACGGUCCAGACUCCUACGGGAGGCAGCAGUGGGGAAUUUUGGACAAUGGGCGAAAGCCUGAUCCAGCCAUUCCGCGUGCAGGAUGAAGGCCCUCGGGUUGUAAACUGCUUUUGUACAGAACGAAAAGGUCUCUAUUAAUACUAGGGGCUCAUGACGGUACUGUAGGAAUAAGCACCGGCUAACUACGUGCCAGCAGCCGCAGUAA
Molecule: ribosomal RNA, 496 nt
Filed under: uncultured bacterium
Lineage: Bacteria
Description: partial 16S ribosomal RNA
Rfam family: Bacterial small subunit ribosomal RNA
Source: RNAcentral